UCCAAAAACUGAAUCGAAA
Molecule: small nuclear RNA, 19 nt
Filed under: Arabidopsis thaliana (thale cress)
Lineage: Eukaryota; Viridiplantae; Streptophyta; Magnoliopsida; Brassicales; Brassicaceae
Description: snRNA_00999
Source: RNAcentral